AAUACUUUCAGGUGAGUUGAAGGACGAUUUCGUCACUGAUGUUGCUCUACUGGUUUAUUGCUGUACAGCAUACACUCAAGAAGUAUUUAAUCUUACGGCUUCUCUAAGGUUUCAACAUGAAAAAUUUGGUCUUGAUUUUCAUUUUGAUAGUUAUUUUUUCUGUCAUCAAAGCUGAUAGAAAUGCUCCGUCAAAAAAAGGUAAUAAGCAUGGAAGUGCUUUCAAACAUGAUACAACAAACGAAAAAGUCUUACCAGCAGAAAAGGGAGAUACCCUUGUAAUUCUGGAGGCAGAAGACAAUAAGAAACAGGAAAAUCAAGCUCAGAACGACACACUACAUGAUAUAAGUCAGUGGACCCGUUUUGGCAGUGGAUUCUCUGGAUAAAUAAAAAAUUAUGAUUUAAACAGCAUGAACAAUUUUUAAAGAUUUUGGAAAAUAAGGAGAACGAUUUACUGUUUGUAUACUUUUCAAUUUUUUGACGUUAAAGGGUGAUAUAUUCUCAAUCAUUGCAUUUAGCUUUUAAUAUAUAAAUCACUGCUUUAUAUUAUUCUGAAGUACAGCGAAUAUCUAUAAUAUACACAAAAGUUUUGUGUGUAAUGAUGUAAUUUUUCGUAAUUCUUCUCAUUUAAUAAAUUUAAUAAUUAUUUCCAA
Centruroides sculpturatus (bark scorpion) is the source of this 650-nucleotide long non-coding RNA. RefSeq lists it as uncharacterized. The record is from RefSeq and is a predicted model, not a curated record. The transcript has 3 exons. NCBI's taxonomy places the organism in Eukaryota, Metazoa, Arthropoda, Arachnida, Scorpiones, Buthidae.